This is a long non-coding RNA of Dama dama (fallow deer), 1606 nucleotides long. RefSeq lists it as uncharacterized. The transcript is spliced from 3 exons. The record is from RefSeq and is a predicted model, not a curated record. Lineage: Eukaryota; Metazoa; Chordata; Mammalia; Artiodactyla; Cervidae.
UCAGCUCGGUAAAGGUUUAUUGCUUCCUCCUACUGCGUUUGUAAUACUGGGGUUAUAAAGACGGUAACAGCACAGUUCCUCAUGGCUUAGCCAAGAGAGACAAAGGCAAAGGCAGCCUGUGCUGAGGGUGAGAAGCUGCCUAUGCUUCAUAAUAUUUGUGGCAGAAAUGGAUCAAGUGCUAGAUUUCUUGUAUUGACAAUGCAUUUUGGCAAGACAGCUGGAGGUGGAAUGCCCAGUGGAGUGAAAAGUGUCCUUCUGACUCCAGUUCUUCAAGUACCCUGUUCUUCCUGGCAAAAGUAACCUGUAUUCCCAGUUUCUUGGGUGUCCCUUCACAUAGUCUGUGUACAGGCAAGAAUACUGGAGCGGGUUGCCAUUUCCUUCUCCAAGGGAUCUUCCUGACCCAGUGAUCGAACCGGUAUCUCCUGCAUUGCAGGCAGAUUCUUUACCGCUGAGCCACCAGGGAAGACUUUCAAAAUAUACCACAUUAUUAACUAUUUUCUGUUAAGAAGUAUAACUAAUCACAGUUUAUGGUGUAAAUCUAAUACAUGUAAUGGAUUGUAGGUGUUUAAAUGCAAUUGAUAUAUGCUUCCCUUAACUUUAUAGAUUAUUACAGCCUUCAUUUAUUCAACUUAUAUCUGUAUAUUAAAGUUAUUUUCAAGUUUUUGAAUGGCUCAUACAUGCAUGUAUGUAGUGAUAAAAAAUGUAAAACUGAUACAAAAGGCAUCUAAUUCUGUUUCACAGAAUCAAGCAAUAUAGCUAAUGUCUUCUGAGAUGUUCAAUGCAGUUCCAGACAAUUCUAUGUUUAUAUUUCUCCCUCCUUCCAUUUCUUUCUUCUCUCCCAUCAGUUUUAAUAACUGGUGUGAUCAACCCUUUCUCAUUCCUUUAAAAAUUUUUUUUUCCCCUAGAUACUUUUUACUGGCUCUUAUUGCUUAUUUAGUUAUAUACAGGAACUUUAAAAUCAGCUUACCUAGCCUGAAAAAAAUCCUAUCAGCAAUUUUGGGAGUGGGAUGCCUAGUAUUCAUAAAUUACCUUCUGAGAGAACUGACAUCUUAAGAUGCUGAAACCAAAAACAUGAUAUGCCUUUCUAAUUGUUUGAGUCUUUAAAAAAUAACUGUUGAGUUUAUCUUGAAGAAUUUUUAACUUUUUUUCAGUAAAUAGAGUGAUUUCCUCUAUUGUAUCUUCUGAUUGUUGUCUGUUUGAAGACUUGAUUUUUCCAUAUUAUGUUUUUCACCGUACUUAAGUCUUCAUUGUUAGUAAUAGUUUUUCAGCUGAUUCUCUUGAGUUCUCCACCUAAACAAUUAUUUUAUCUACAUAUACCUUCAGAGCAAUAUUAAUUAUGGUAGUCUUAUGUUGUAUGGCUAGUAAAUUAUACCUGUGCACAUUUUCAAAUAAAGUCGCUCUGGUUAAUUGCUUAAUAGAAAAGCAGUGUAAACUGUUAAAUAUGAACACAAAACAAAACAUCCAAACCUACAGUCACCACAAAAAUGAAACAAACCAACAGCCAACUAACAAAAACUGUUCUCAUCUGCGAUUACUUGUGAAUCAGGCAUCUCAAUUUUGUGUAAACAAAACAAAAUGAGAUUUUGGAGCACUGAGCGUUAAGAUU